This is a long non-coding RNA of Herpailurus yagouaroundi (jaguarundi), 328 nucleotides long. RefSeq lists it as uncharacterized. The record is from RefSeq and is a predicted model, not a curated record. NCBI's taxonomy places the organism in Eukaryota, Metazoa, Chordata, Mammalia, Carnivora, Felidae. The transcript has 2 exons.
AAACAAACUCGCAAGGACGUUUUGGGAAAUUACAAAGCAGAGGCUGUGUUAUGAGAUGGGGAGCUCCCCUCACUAACCACUAACCAGCAGAAGCCGGACAGAAGAAAUUCCAGUAAUGGAGGAAAUCCAGUGGUGGGGACAAAGCAAAGAGAAAACGUGGACCUUCUGCUCAAGACUAGCUCAUUCCCACACAGAAAACUCCAGAGGCAAGCAGAGAUCCCUGGAAAUUGUGGAUCACAGUCUCAGAAUGAAGUGACCAAAAUGUUUUAUCAGUUCUGCCUCAGAUUUGAUUAUUACAGCACUGCAAAUAAAAACCUUGUUCUCAGAA